UUUCUAGGGAGUAUAAUGUUAAUUUGAAAUUUAGUGAAUCUGGCGGUUUUUAAAUCUUUUUAGAGGAACCUGUAAUUUAAAUGAUAGUCCACGAUUUUUUUUACCUUAAUUUUCUUGUAUAUCUCUGUCGUUGAAUGUGGUGAAAAUUUAUUUUCUUUUUUUUUAUUAAAUUUAUGUUAGGUCAAGGUGCAGUUAUAUUAUGGUUAUUAUGGGUUACAAUAAUUUUUGUUUGCGGAUUUCAUUUUUUUUAUGUUUUGAAUUUGGAUUUAAAAGUAAUUUUUUUUUUUUAAUUUUUU
This 296-nucleotide ribosomal RNA is filed under the name Conosimus coelatus. RNAcentral describes it as "partial small subunit ribosomal RNA". Lineage: Eukaryota; Metazoa; Arthropoda; Insecta; Hemiptera; Issidae. The record is from RNAcentral.